RNAcentral lists this ribosomal RNA (495 nucleotides) under uncultured bacterium. RNAcentral describes it as "partial 16S ribosomal RNA". It matches the Rfam family "Bacterial small subunit ribosomal RNA", at positions 28 to 507 of the family's 1533-position model. The record is from RNAcentral.
GACGAACGCUGGCGGCGUGCCUAAUACAUGCAAGUAGAACGCUGAAGGAGGAGCUUGCUCUUCUGGAUGAGUUGCGAACGGAUGAGUAACGCGUAGGUAACCUGCCUGGUAGCGGGGGAUAACUAUUGGAAACGAUAGCUAAUACCGCAUAACAGUAGAUGUUGCAUGACAUUUGCUUAAAAGGUGCAAUUGCACCACUACCAGAUGGACCUGCGUUGUAUUAGCUAGUUGGUGGGGUAACGGCUCACCAAGGCGACGAUACAUAGCCGACCUGAGAGGGUGAUCGGCCACACUGGGACUGAGACACGGCCCAGACUCCUACGGGAGGCAGCAGUAGGGAAUCUUCGGCAAUGGACGGAAGUCUGACCGAGCAACGCCGCGUGAGUGAAGAAGGUUUUCGGAUCGUAAAGCUCUGUUGUAAGAGAAGAACGAGUGUGAGAGUGGAAAGUUCACACUGUGACGGUAUCUUACCAGAAAGGGACGGCUAACUACGUG